This 70-nucleotide transfer RNA is filed under the name Limnoperna fortunei. RNAcentral describes it as "tRNA-Asn". Lineage: Eukaryota; Metazoa; Mollusca; Bivalvia; Mytilida; Modiolidae. The record is from RNAcentral.
AGCCAAGUAAUUUAAAAAAAAUGUUGGACUGUUAAUUCAAUUUUGUGGUGUAUUUAAAACCACCUUGGUG